GAUGAACGCUGGCGGCGUGCUUAACACAUGCAAGUCGAGCGAGUGAGUUCUUCGGAACGAUCUAGCGGCGGACGGGUGAGUAACACGUGGGCAACCUGCCUCAUAGAGGGGAAUAGCCUCCCGAAAGGGAGAUUAAUACCGCAUAAAAUUAUCGAGUGGCAUCACAUGAUAAUCAAAGGAGUAAUCCGCUAUGAGAUGGGCCCGCGGCGCAUUAGCUAGUUGGUGAGGUAACGGCUCACCAAGGCGACGAUGCGUAGCCGACCUGAGAGGGUGAUCGGCCACAUUGGGACUGAGACACGGCCCAGACUCCUACGGGAGGCAGCAGUGGGGAAUAUUGCACAAUGGGGGAAACCCUGAUGCAGCAACGCCGCGUGAGUGAUGAAGAUCUUCGGAUUGUAAAGCUCUGUCUUUGGGGACGAUAAUGACGGUACCCGAGGAGGAAGCCACGGCUAACUACGUGCCAGCAGCCGCCGCGG
RNAcentral lists this ribosomal RNA (476 nucleotides) under uncultured bacterium. RNAcentral's name for it is "partial 16S ribosomal RNA". It matches the Rfam family "Bacterial small subunit ribosomal RNA", at positions 28 to 523 of the family's 1533-position model. The record is from RNAcentral.